Molecule: unclassified non-coding RNA, 144 nt
Filed under: uncultured Capnodiales
Lineage: Eukaryota; Fungi; Ascomycota; Dothideomycetes; Capnodiales
Description: sequence contains ITS2
Source: RNAcentral
ACACCCAUCAAGCCUGGCUUGGUAUUGGGCGACGGGGCCUCCCCCGCGCCCCGAUUUCGCCGGCUGGACGACCCCCGCUCUCAGCGUUGUGACGCAUUUCGCUGUCGAGACGGGACGGCCACGCCGUUAACCCCAAUCAAAUCA